This 292-nucleotide ribosomal RNA is filed under the name uncultured bacterium. RNAcentral's name for it is "partial 16S ribosomal RNA". It matches the Rfam family "Bacterial small subunit ribosomal RNA", at positions 773 to 1060 of the family's 1533-position model. The record is from RNAcentral.
GUGGAUUAGAUACCCUGGUAGUCCUAGCCGUAAACGGUGCAUAUUUGCUGUAAAAGGAAUCGACCCCUUUUGUGGCGUAGCCAACGCGUUAAAUAUGCCGCCUGGGAAGUACGGUCGCAAGAUUAAAACUCAAAGAAAUUGACGGGGGCCUGCACAAGCGGUGGAGUAUGUGGCUCAAUUCGAUGCAACGCGAAGAACCUUACCUGGCCUUGACAUGUACGUAGUAGAAGGAUGAAAGUCUGACGAGGUAGCAAUACCAGCGUACACAGGUGCUGCACGGUCGUCGUCAACU